CCUACGGGAGGCAGCAGUGAGGAAUAUUGGUCAAUGGACGCGAGACUGAACCAGCCAAGUAGCGUGAAGGAUGACGGCCCUAUGGGUUGUAAACUUCUUUUAUAUGGGAAUAAAAUGUUCCACGUGUGGGGUUUUGUAUGUACCGUAUGAAUAAGGAUCGGCUAACUCCGUGCCAGCAGCCGCGGUAAUACGGAGGAUCCGAGCGUUAUCCGGAUUUAUUGGGGUUAAAGGGAGCGUAGGUGGAUUGUUAAGUGAGUUGUGAAAGUUUGCGGCUCAACCGUAAAACUGCAGUUGAAACUGGCAGUCUUGAGUACAGUAGAGGUGGGCGGAAUUCGUGGUGUAGCGGUGAAAUGCUUAGAUAUCACGAAGAACUCCGAUUGCGAAGGCAGCUCACUGGACUGCAACUGACACUGAGGCGCGAAAGUGUGGGUAUCAAACAGGAUUAGAUACCCUUGUAGUC
This 460-nucleotide ribosomal RNA is filed under the name uncultured bacterium. RNAcentral's name for it is "partial 16S ribosomal RNA". It matches the Rfam family "Bacterial small subunit ribosomal RNA", at positions 338 to 795 of the family's 1533-position model. The record is from RNAcentral.